UUUUUUUUUUAUUUUUUAAUUUUUCUUCUGGUUCACAACAUUCCUUUGGAACCAAUAGGAAAUAUUGCAGUUUUAGAUGCCUAAUUUCCAACUUGAUCUUAAAUCACUUAUACAGGUCUAGCAAUUCUCAGGAUCAGAAAUGCAACCUGGGGAAAUGCUUCUCUGAUAAAAGAAAAUUGAAGAACCUUGGAGUGUCCAUGAGAAAUGAACCAUAACCAAAGACAGUUCCUUUGAGAAAAAUUUCAUUGUGAUAAAAACAAGAUUGAGCUAAAAGACAACAUAAUCAGAAGACAGAAAAUGAACACAACAUCUAAAGAACCAGAUAAGACUGUGAGAGACCAGGGAUGGUAUUUAAGAGACUUCCCCCAGCCAGAGGGAAUAAGAUAUGUAGAAUACUGAACCACACUGAUAUCUAUCUAGAGACCUGGGAGAGGAACAGCAACAGUAUACUUGCCACAUCUAAGGAGGGGAGGAGGGGCCCAUCUGUGCUCACCCCACUGCUUCAGGGUCCUUCUAACAAAGAGAUUGUGCUGCGGUGGCCCCAAGAACCUUCCAGCAGGCAAUGCCUGCUGCUUUGGAAGUAUUCAGAAGUUGCAAUGCUGGGAACCAAGAUGUCAGGUUAUUGAAAGGAGAGGAACUACCAGAUAGAACCUGGCUUUGUAGAGCAAAUAAAGGAGGUUCUAGCCUUGACAAGAGGAGUGUGGCCCUUCCUGGAAUCCCUCUGGACACACCCUCCUAGCAUCCUCUAGGAAAGAUGCGGCAGCUCAAAGGGAAGCCCAAGAAGGAGACCUCCAAGGACAAGAAGGAGCGGAAGCAAGCCAUGCAGGAGGCCCGGCAGCAGAUCACCACAGUGGUGCUGCCCACGCUGGCCGUGGUUGUGCUCUUGAUCGUGGUGUUUGUGUACGUGGCCACACGCCCCACCAUCACCGAGUGAGCCCUGCAGCCAGCCGUGGACCCCAUCGGCAGGGAGAGGAGGCGCGGGAGGGGGACGCAAACAAAAAAUGGCUUUCAUAUUCAGAGAUGUUCAUGUUGCUGAGCUGUAAGCAGGAGCACCCUGUCUUCUCUGGUCUUUGACUUGAUUAAAGUAUCUCCGCUUUCUUGGGAGGGAACAGGGGAUGUUUUAUCGGUGAAUGUGCCAUACACCUUAUGGUCCACUUCAUGUGCCUUUCAGACUUAAAAGCGCGCGCGCGCGUGUGUGUGUGUGCGUGCGCGCUUCUUCUCUCCUAAAAAUCGAUAAGUAGCUCCAUCUGAGGAGGGGCGGAGCCUCUGGGUCAGGAAGCAGCUGGAAUCCACACUCACCUCAUUCCCAUUGUUUGGAUCAUGCCUCUUUCCAACACGUGUUCACAAUCUCCAAAGGGACUAUGUUUCUUCUCUGUGCUUAAUGUGAUUUGAAAUAUGUUGAAUCAAAGUGAAAUAUUUAUUUUUUGAAUAAAGGAGAUAAUAGCCUUAAACUGGAUGUUUAUCAUGUUUUGCAAAGGAGGUGCUGUCUGUGGGUCUCCCCCUGCCCACGGGGGUCUGCCCCUCUUCCCUCCCCUUCGCUUUCUCCUGUGGCUCUCUCCGCCUUCCCCAGCACUCCCUCUGCUCAUCAU
This is a long non-coding RNA of Pongo abelii (Sumatran orangutan), 1589 nucleotides long. Lineage: Eukaryota; Metazoa; Chordata; Mammalia; Primates; Hominidae. The record is from Ensembl.